UCUCAGUUGCGGCAUGCGAACUCUUAGUUGCAGCAUGUAAGAUCUGGUUCCCUGACCAGGGAUUGAAGCUGGGUCCCCUGCAUUGGGAGCUCAGAGUCUCAGCCACUGGAUCACCAAGGACCUUCCAGGAGGAGCAAUUUUAAAGAGGAGAAAGUGGUCGUCUCAGUUUGGGAUAGUAAAAAAGGUAUCCGUGGGGUCUUUGGGGGGAUAUGCUCAGGGAUUGUCAAAAUAGGAGUCAGUUACUUAGGAGAACAGUCCAAGCUGAGCAUAGAAAUACAGGUGGAGGGAAACUCGACUCAAUCCAGGUGAAGACUGAGGCCCUGAGAAGGGAAGUAGCAGCUCAGGGAGGCCUCAUUGAGCAUGAGAAGAGAGCAUGGCGAGAACCCAGCUUGCAUGGCUCUUCACCUCCCCCAGCAUGCCCAGAGUGCCAGAUGCCAACACUGGUUGUGCUGGGUCUUCGUUGGUGCAAGCAGGUUUUCUCUAGUCGUGGUCAGCAGGGGCUACCCUGUAGUUGUGAUGCGUGGGCUUCUCACUGCAGCGGCUUCUCUUGUUGCAGAGCACAGGUUCUAGGCCCGUGGGCUCAGUAGUUGAGGUCUGAUGUUCCAUGUGCAGUAGGAGGACAUGAGUUGGUGCACGGGGACUCAGUGCCAUGAACUAAAAAGCCACUGAACAGUUCCCUAGUGACUGGAGUUAAUCAGAUUUCACCAAAUGCCUAACCACGUUGUGGAAGAGAGUCUACAUGUGGGAGACACUGCUCGCUGCAUCUCCAUUUAAUCUCUUUCUCCUUUGAAGCAACGUAUUUCCCACAGGGUAAGUUUCUAAAACUCAGACCAUUUAAUUUGGGGGAACAAUUUUUUAUAAAGGGAAAAGUUAACUUUGUGUGUUUUCUUCCAGAUCCCCUGACUUUCUGAGAUUAUGUAUUUUGCUGUUGGGGAGCUUUUUUUCCUCCUCAGUUCUACAAUAAACUCUUUGUUGUUUAACAUUCUAUUAACCACAACCCUCUAGUAACCGGCACAUCUGUAAGUCUCCAGUAUAAUAAUUGUUGUUCAUAACCAUGACCCUGGGGCUCUGCGUGGUCUCAGAUGCUUCCAAGUCAUCAAAGGGAAUGCACUAAAAUGAUUUUGCAUUCCCAGAGCACACAUCAACCAACCACAGAGGGAAGGAGUCCAGAUAAGUGUUAGGUAGAAGAAGAAAUAACGUGAGGAUUUCAAAUUUGCCACAGGUAAUUCACUGUAUGGAUAAUGAAAUCUACACUACAUCUGUUACAGCUUGCCCCUACUCAAAG
Molecule: long non-coding RNA, 1285 nt
Organism: Bos taurus (domestic cattle)
Lineage: Eukaryota; Metazoa; Chordata; Mammalia; Artiodactyla; Bovidae
Source: Ensembl